RNAcentral lists this ribosomal RNA (492 nucleotides) under uncultured bacterium. RNAcentral's name for it is "partial 16S ribosomal RNA". It matches the Rfam family "Bacterial small subunit ribosomal RNA", at positions 29 to 507 of the family's 1533-position model. The record is from RNAcentral.
AGUGAACGCUGGCGGUAGGCCUAACACAUGCAAGUCGAACGGCAGCACAGUAAGAGCUUGCUCUUACGGGUGGCGAGUGGCGGACGGGUGAGGAAUACAUCGGAAUCUACUUUUUCGUGUGGGCUAACGUAGGGAAACUUACGCUAAUACCGCAUACGACCUACGGGUGAAAGCAGGGGAUCUUCGGACCUUGCGCGAUUGACUGAGCCGAUGUCGGAUUAGCUAGUUGGCGGGGUAAAGGCCCACCAAGGCGACGAUCCGUAGCUGGUCUGAGAGGAUGAUCAGCCACACAGGAACUGAGACACGGUCCAGACUCCUACGGGAGGCAGCAGUGGGGAAUAUUGGACAAUGGGCGCAAGCCUUAUCCAGCCAUACCGCGUGGGUGAAGAAGGCCUUCGGGUUGUAAAGCCCUUUUGUUGGGAAAGAAAAGCAGCAGGUUAAUACCCCGCUGUUCUGACGGUACCCGAAGAAUAAGCACCGGCUAACUUCGUG